UACGGAGGGUGCAAACGUUGCUCGGAAUCAUUGGGCGUAAAGCGCACGUAGGCGGCCUGUUAAGUCGGAUGUGAAAGCCCCGGGCUCAACCCGGGAAGUGCAUACGAAACUGGCGGGCGUGAAUAUGGAAGAGGGUCGCGGAAUUCCCGGUGUAGAGGUGAAAUUCGUAGAUAUCUGGAGGAACACCGGUGGCGAAGGCGGCGUUCUGGACUGUUUCUGACACUGAAAAACGAAAGCCAGGGGAGCAAACGGG
RNAcentral lists this ribosomal RNA (253 nucleotides) under uncultured bacterium. RNAcentral's name for it is "partial 16S ribosomal RNA". It matches the Rfam family "Bacterial small subunit ribosomal RNA", at positions 524 to 776 of the family's 1533-position model. The record is from RNAcentral.